CCGUAGGUGAACCUGCGGAAGGAUCAUUGUCGAGACCCACUGACGAGGACGACCGUGAAUGCGUCAACGAUUGCUCGUCGGGCUCGUCCCGACAACACCCCCGAAUGUCGGUCCGCCCUCGGGCGGGACGACCGAGGGGAUGAACUACCAACCCCGGCGCGGAUAGCGCCAAGGAACACGAACAUCGAAGUCGGAGGGCCUCGCUGCAUGCAGGAGGCUACAAUUCCGACGGUGACCCCAUUGGACGACUCUCGGCAACGGAUAUCUCGGCUCUCGCAUCGAUGAAGAACGUAGCGAAAUGCGAUACCUGGUGUGAAUUGCAGAAUCCCGUGAACCAUCGAGUCUUUGAACGCAAGUUGCGCCCGAGGCCAUCCGGCUAAGGGCACGCCUGCCUGGGCGUCACGCUUUCGACGCUUCGUCGUUGCCCCCUCGGGGGGUGGGGGCGAACGUGGAGGAUGGCCCCCCGUGCCGUAAAGGUGCGGUUGGCCGAAGAGCGGGCCGUCGGUGGUUGUCGAACACGACGCGUGGUGGAUGCCUUGUGCGAGCCGUACGUCGUGCCUUCGGGACCCGGGCGAGGCCUCGAGGACCCAAGUCGUGGUGCGAGUCGAUGCCACGGACCGCGACCCCAGGUCAGGUGGGGCUACCCGCUGAGUUUAAGCAUAUCAAUAAGCGGAGGA
This 677-nucleotide ribosomal RNA is filed under the name Musa acuminata subsp. malaccensis (wild Malaysian banana). RNAcentral describes it as "eukaryotic LSU rRNA". The stretch from base 247 to 402 matches the Rfam family "5.8S ribosomal RNA". The record is from RNAcentral. Lineage: Eukaryota; Viridiplantae; Streptophyta; Magnoliopsida; Zingiberales; Musaceae.